GGGGCCUAAUACAUGCAAGUCGAACGCUUCCUACCGGUGCUUGCACCGGGAAAGAAGAGUGGCGGACGGGUGAGUAACACGUGGGUAACCUACCUACAAGCGGGGGAUAACAUUCGGAAACGGAUGCUAAUACCGCAUAGAUCUUUUUGUCUCCUGGCAGAAAGAAGAAAGACGGUUUCGGCUGUCACUUGUAGAUGGACCCGCGGCGCAUUAGUUAGUUGGUGAGGUAAUGGCUCACCAAGACGAUGAUGCGUAGCCGACCUGAGAGGGUGAUCGGCCACACUGGGACUGAGACACGGCCCAGACUCCUACGGGAGGCAGCAGUAGGGAAUCUUCCGCAAUGGACGAAAGUCUGACGGAGCAACGCCGCGUGAGUGAAGAAGGUUUUCGGAUCGUAAAACUCUGUUGUUAGAGAAGAACAAGGAUGAGAGUAACUGCUCGUCCCUUGACGGUAUCUAACCAGAAAGCCAUGGCUAACUACGUGCCAGCAGCCGCGGUAAUACGUAGAUGGCAAGCGUUGUCCGGAUUUAU
This 531-nucleotide ribosomal RNA is filed under the name Firmicutes bacterium PM33. Its description in RNAcentral is "bacterial SSU rRNA". It matches the Rfam family "Bacterial small subunit ribosomal RNA", at positions 43 to 554 of the family's 1533-position model. The record is from RNAcentral. Lineage: Bacteria; Bacillati; Bacillota.